Molecule: long non-coding RNA, 286 nt
Filed under: Nicotiana benthamiana
Lineage: Eukaryota; Viridiplantae; Streptophyta; Magnoliopsida; Solanales; Solanaceae
Description: long non-coding RNA (NBEN_LNC001646)
Source: RNAcentral
GGGUGCCACAUUCCCCUUCUUCCUCUACUGGUUGUUCAUCUACUUCUGUAUGUGCUUUGUCUGUUUCUUGUAAUGAUGACAAUAUGUCUGACAGCAAGGAUGUUGCCUUGCCUUCAACUAUGCAUAAUUCCAUUUGUAAUAAUGUUGUUACAACUGAUAUGAAUUACAUUUGGCAUUUACGACUAGCACAUACUUCCUUUGCAAAUAUGAGACAUAGCUCUGCUUUGUCUUUUCCAUUUGCUUCUAAACAACCUUUUCCUUGUUCUGUCUGUCCUAUGGCCAAACA